RNAcentral lists this ribosomal RNA (697 nucleotides) under uncultured bacterium. Its description in RNAcentral is "bacterial SSU rRNA". It matches the Rfam family "Bacterial small subunit ribosomal RNA", at positions 48 to 762 of the family's 1533-position model. The record is from RNAcentral.
UUAACACAUGCAAGUCGAGCGGUAAGGCCCUUCGGGGUACACGAGCGGCGAACGGGUGAGUAACACGUGGGUGAUCUGCCCUGCACUUCGGGAUAAGCCUGGGAAACUGGGUCUAAUACCGGAUAUGACCAAAGGCUGCAUGGUUUUUGGUGGAAAGGUUUACUGGUGCAGGAUGGGCCCGCGGCCUAUCAGCUUGUUGGUGGGGUAAUGGCCUACCAAGGCGACGACGGGUAGCCGACCUGAGAGGGUGACCGGCCACACUGGGACUGAGACACGGCCCAGACUCCUACGGGAGGCAGCAGUGGGGAAUAUUGCACAAUGGGCGAAAGCCUGAUGCAGCGACGCCGCGUGAGGGAUGACGGCCUUCGGGUUGUAAACCUCUUUCAGCAGGGACGAAGCGAAAGUGACGGUACCUGCAGAAGAAGCACCGGCCAACUACGUGCCAGCAGCCGCGGUAAUACGUAGGGUGCAAGCGUUGUCCGGAAUUACUGGGCGUAAAGAGCUCGUAGGCGGUUUGUCGCGUCGUCUGUGAAAAUUCGAGGCUCAACCUCGAGCUUGCAGGCGAUACGGGCAGACUUGAGUACUGCAGGGGAGACUGGAAUUCCUGGUGUAGCGGUGAAAUGCGCAGAUAUCAGGAGGAACACCGGUGGCGAAGGCGGGUCUCUGGGCAGUAACUGACGCUGAGGAGCGAAAGCGU